RNAcentral lists this ribosomal RNA (497 nucleotides) under uncultured bacterium. RNAcentral describes it as "partial 16S ribosomal RNA". It matches the Rfam family "Bacterial small subunit ribosomal RNA", at positions 28 to 507 of the family's 1533-position model. The record is from RNAcentral.
GAUGAACGCUGGCGGCGUGCCUAAUACAUGCAAGUCGAGCGAACGGACGAGAAGCUUGCUUUUCUGAUGUUAGCGGCGGGCGGGUGAGUAACACGUGGAUAACCUACCUAUAAGACCGGGAUAACUUCGGGAAACCGGAGCUAAUACCGGAUAAUAUUUUGAACCGCAUGGUUCAAAAGUGAAAGACGGUCUUGCUGUCACUUAUAGAUGGAUCCGCGCUGCAUUAGCUAGUUGGUAAGGUAACGGCUUACCAAGGCAACGAUGCAUAGCCGACCUGAGAGGGUGAUCGGCCACACUGGAACUGAGACACGGUCCAGACUCCUACGGGAGGCAGCAGUAGGGAAUCUUCCGCAAUGGGCGAAAGCCUGACGGAGCAACGCCGCGUGAGUGAUGAAGGUCUUCGGAUCGUAAAACUCUGUUAUUAGGGAAGAACAUAUGUGUAAGUAACUGUGCACAUCUUGACGGUACCUAAUCAGAAAGCCACGGCUAACUACGUG